UUUUAUGGAGAGUUUGAUCCUGGCUCAGGACGAACGCUGGCGGCGUGCCUAAUACAUGCAAGUCGAGCGAACAGAUAAGGAGCUUGCUCCUUUGACGUUAGCGGCGGACGGGUGAGUAACACGUGGGCAACCUACCUUAUAGUUUGGGAUAACUCCGGGAAACCGGGGCUAAUACCGAAUAAUCUAUUUUACUUCAUGGUGAAAUACUGAAAGACGGUUUCGGCUGUCGCUAUAAGAUGGGCCCGCGGCGCAUUAGCUAGUUGGUGAGGUAACGGCUCA
RNAcentral lists this ribosomal RNA (279 nucleotides) under Lysinibacillus sphaericus. RNAcentral describes it as "partial 16S ribosomal RNA". It matches the Rfam family "Bacterial small subunit ribosomal RNA", at positions 1 to 267 of the family's 1533-position model. Lineage: Bacteria; Bacillati; Bacillota; Bacilli; Caryophanales; Bacillaceae. The record is from RNAcentral.